This is a small nucleolar RNA of Camellia sinensis, 92 nucleotides long. RefSeq annotates it as small nucleolar RNA snoR27. The record is from RefSeq and is a predicted model, not a curated record. NCBI's taxonomy places the organism in Eukaryota, Viridiplantae, Streptophyta, Magnoliopsida, Ericales, Theaceae.
AUAGGAUCAAUGAUGAUUGAUAAAAACUGCGUUAUCUAUCUGUAAUUCCCUUUAAAGGGAUUGAAGAUAUUCAUAUUAUUCUGAGAUCCGUU